Molecule: transfer RNA, 75 nt
Filed under: Candidatus Aenigmatarchaeota archaeon
Lineage: Archaea; Nanobdellati; Candidatus Aenigmatarchaeota
Description: tRNA-Arg
Rfam family: tRNA
About the family: Transfer RNA (tRNA) molecules are approximately 80 nucleotides in length. Their secondary structure includes four short double-helical elements and three loops (D, anti-codon, and T loops). Further hydrogen bonds mediate the characteristic L-shaped molecular structure. tRNAs have two regions of fundamental functional importance: the anti-codon, which is responsible for specific mRNA codon recognition, and the 3' end, to which the tRNAs corresponding amino acid is attached (by aminoacyl-tRNA synthetases). tRNAs cope with the degeneracy of the genetic code in two manners: having more than one tRNA (with a specific anti-codon) for a particular amino acid; and 'wobble' base-pairing, i.e. permitting non-standard base-pairing at the 3rd anti-codon position.
Source: RNAcentral
GGACCCGUAGCUCAGCUUGGAUAGAGCACCUGCCUCCUAAGCAGGGGGUCGCGGGUUCAAAUCCCGCCGGGUCCG